Molecule: ribosomal RNA, 418 nt
Filed under: Leifsonia sp.
Lineage: Bacteria; Bacillati; Actinomycetota; Actinomycetes; Micrococcales; Microbacteriaceae
Description: bacterial SSU rRNA
Rfam family: Bacterial small subunit ribosomal RNA
Source: RNAcentral
UACUCCUACGGGGAGGCAGCAGUGGGGAAUAUUGCACAAUGGGCGCAAGCCUGAUGCAGCAACGCCGCGUGAGGGACGACGGCCUUCGGGUUGUAAACCUCUUUUAGUAGGGAAGAAGCGAAAGUGACGGUACCUGCAGAAAAAGCACCGGCUAACUACGUGCCAGCAGCCGCGGUAAUACGUAGGGUGCGAGCGUUGUCCGGAAUUAUUGGGCGUAAAGAGCUCGUAGGCGGUCUGUCGCGUCUGCUGUGAAAACCCGAGGCUCAACCUCGGGCCUGCAGUGGGUACGGGCAGACUAGAGUGCGGUAGGGGAGAAUGGAAUUCCUGGUGUAGCGGUGGAAUGCGCAGAUAUCAGGAGGAACACCGAUGGCGAAGGCAGUUCUCUGGCCGUAACUGACGCUGAGAGCGUAUGCUACUC